RNAcentral lists this ribosomal RNA (486 nucleotides) under uncultured bacterium. RNAcentral's name for it is "partial 16S ribosomal RNA". It matches the Rfam family "Bacterial small subunit ribosomal RNA", at positions 28 to 523 of the family's 1533-position model. The record is from RNAcentral.
GACGAACGCUGGCGGCGUGCUUAACACAUGCAAGUCGAACGAUGAACCCGGAGCUUGCUCCGGUGGAUUAGUGGCGAACGGGUGAGUAACACGUGAGUAACCUGCCCUUGACUCUGGGAUAACUGCGGGAAACUGUAGCUAAUACCGGAUACGACCCUCGGCGGCAUCGCCAGUGGGUGGAAAGAAUUUCGGUCAAGGAUGGACUCGCGGCCUAUCAGCUAGUGGGUGAGGUAACGGCUCACCAAGGCGACGACGGGUAGUCGGCCUGAGAGGGUGACAGGCCACACUGGGACUGAGACACGGCCCAGACUCCUACGGGAGGCAGCAGUGGGGAAUAUUGCGCAAUGGGCGAAAGCCUGACGCAGCAACGCCGCGUGCGGGAUGACGGCCUUCGGGUUGUAAACCGCUUUCAGCAGGGAAGAAGCCGCAAGGUGACGGUACCUGCAGAAGAAGCACCGGCUAACUACGUGCCAGCAGCCGCAGUAA